Molecule: long non-coding RNA, 109 nt
Organism: Sapajus apella (tufted capuchin)
Lineage: Eukaryota; Metazoa; Chordata; Mammalia; Primates; Cebidae
Exons: 2
Source: RefSeq, a predicted model, not a curated record
GCAGUGUCUCACGCCUGUAAUCCCAACACUUUGGGAUGCUUAGGCAGGAGGACCACGAGGUCAAGAGAUCGAGACCAUCCUGGUCAACAUGGUGAAACCCCGUCUCUAC